UACGUAGGGUGCGAGCGUUAAUCGGAAUUACUGGGCGUAAAGCGUGCGCAGGCGGUUUUGUAAGCCAGAUGUGAAAUCCCCGGGCUUAACCUGGGAAUGGCAUUUGGGACUGCAAGGCUUGAGUGCGGCAGAGGAGACUGGAAUUCCUGGUGUAGCAGUGAAAUGCGUAGAGAUGUGGAGGAAUACCGAUGGCGAAGGCAGCCUCCUGGGCCAACACUGACGCUCAUGCACGAAAGCGUGGGGAGCAAACAGG
Molecule: ribosomal RNA, 253 nt
Filed under: uncultured bacterium
Lineage: Bacteria
Description: partial 16S ribosomal RNA
Rfam family: Bacterial small subunit ribosomal RNA
Source: RNAcentral